GCCUUCGUGGUAUAGUGGUCAGCACGCUUGACGCGUAUUCGAGAGGCCCGGGGUUCGAGUCCCGGUGAGAGCA
This 73-nucleotide transfer RNA is filed under the name Stegodyphus mimosarum. It matches the Rfam family "tRNA". Rfam says of the family: Transfer RNA (tRNA) molecules are approximately 80 nucleotides in length. The record is from Rfam by way of RNAcentral. Lineage: Eukaryota; Metazoa; Arthropoda; Arachnida; Araneae; Eresidae.